Molecule: long non-coding RNA, 2703 nt
Organism: Felis catus (domestic cat)
Lineage: Eukaryota; Metazoa; Chordata; Mammalia; Carnivora; Felidae
Exons: 2
Source: RefSeq, a predicted model, not a curated record
GAGUGGGGCGCGGGCGGCGUCCUUCCACCUGCUGCGGGAGCCGAGUUGGGGGGUACCUGUCUAGGGGUGCUGGCCUUGUGGCCCUGAAGGCCAAGAAAAGGAGGCAAGUCUUGGGAGUCGAUCCGAGGCCAGAGCCACAGGAACAUCUUCAGGCCUCACCCUUGUGCCCUGUCUGAGAACUACAGAAGCGCCCCGCCUGACCUCGCACUGUUCCUUCCGCCACAAACGCCCUCUUGCUUUCCGUCCCAGUUGACCUCAGUUCUUCGUUCCAAGGCCAACUCGGUGCCACCUUCUCCUCUAAACCUCCACCAGCCUGGGAGCAUCUGACCUGUAGUCGUCCUGCAUGGAGACUGCCCUGCUUUGGGCCCUCUCCCAUCAGACUAGGAGUUUGUGACAACAGCCAGGAAGUGGAGGCAGGAUUGCGCAGAAACGACUUGCGAGGACUUUGGAGGUCGAGGCCAAGCUUCAUUCACGCUGGGCUUCACGACCACCGUGCUGCGUGACCUCAGGGAAGGGAAUGGACCUCUCUGUGAUCAGUUUCCUCGUCCGCAGAAGGGAGGAAGAUGGAAAUGCCUCCGUUAGAGUUGUUGGCCAAAUUGAACUGUACAGAAAAUUCCACAGCAUCUACUCAGCCCAGUUUGGUGGCCAGUUCUUCAGCCUUGGCCUUUUCCAGCUUUCCAGUGGCGAUGCAAGCCACCGACUUUGGACCCAGCACGCUGCCUCCCCAGGGACAGGGGAUUGCCUCAUGCCUGUCACUGGACUUGGUCCCGAUGGGUUCCACCGGCUCAGCCAGAGCUCCUUUGUCUCCCAGGCUACCCUGCGUGAAGGCAACAGCGGUGCAGGUCUCCCCGUGGACCCGAUGUCCCAGCCUGGCCUUCCCCUUGAUGAUGCCACGGGGAACCCCCAUCUUACAACACAGGGCAGCCAGGAAGCAACCAGUUGCACGGGAUCCACAUCAUGUGCAGUCACCACCAGCUGAGCCUUCCUGUUUUCCACUAAGGUGGUGACAGUAUUAACCCAGCUCAAAGGACAGGCAGCCUCUUAGCAGGGACAUCCCCUUUGCUGGUAGCUUUCUUCUCAGCCCUGCCCAAGUCUCUUCUCUUGCUUUGUCUCUGGUCUGUAUCUGUGGGUCAGCUUGAGUAGCUGUUUGGCGGGGCAGGCGGGGUGGUCCUAAGGCCUGGGCGAACUGGUUAGUCAUCAGAGGCACUUUUAGACGUUUAUAGAGAACAGCCCUUUGCUGCUGCAACCUGAUGUAACGGGGUCAUUUGACAAAAGGGUGAGGUCCCUUUUGGGCUGGAUGUCCUGUCCAAUGCUAAAAUUCUUGGUCUUUUUCUUACGCAGGGGAUUGACCACUUUCUUGGCCUCCUGCUUCUUCACAACAGGGGCACCUUCUUUCCUUUUGGGAUAUGGGACGGCUGGAGAAGAGAGUGGUUCCCCACCCUUGCUGCCUGGAACCCUCUUUGUUUCUCUGCCUCCCUUCUACCUAGUUACGAUGCUGUGGCCUCAUCACUAGAAAUCACUUCAGUAAUCAUCAACUCCUUAUCAACUCCUAAAUCCUCUUACUUGGGAGAACCCCACCCGUAGUCAAUUUAACUCUACUUAUCUGUCACCUGAGUCUGCUCAGCUUAAUGUGGUGGGAAAAGAAAACAACAACUAGAUCUGUGUAGACUGAUCUCACAUCUAGUUGCUAACUGCGAAUCUUACAUAGGCACUUGCCAAUGCCUAGCAGUCUCAGUAGGUUUCUCCCAUCAGUUUACGCCUCCAUUCUCUGAACACCAUUUCCUACCUUCUCUUACAUCAGAAUUCCGGCCUUCCUCCCGGUUCACCUUCGACCCUUUCUUGAUUCACUGAGAAAUAGAACAGAGCCACCUUACUUUCCACAUCUUCCAACCUGCUUACACUGCAUCCACAUCACGUCCUCGUAAAAUGCAUGGCCCUCCUCCUCUCUUACUAAGGUCAACAACUGCUCCAUCUCUCUUCUCUGCUAGAUCACUCCCGUGUAUAAAAACAACUUUUCCUUGACCCAUCCUCCCCUGCCACUACAACCAGUGCCUCUGCUUUCCUUACAGCAAAACUCUUCAGAAGAGCUCUCGGUGUUUGUGGUUCUCCCUUGCCAUUCUCUCUUUAUCCAGUUCUGGCUUUAUCUCUACAACUCGACAGAUUCGGUUUGUGGGUAAAUCACCAAGGACCACCAUUUUCCCCAAUACAAAACCGAUUUCCAAACAAGUAAAAACAUGAUCAGCAAAAUUGGAAAGUACAAUGAAAUCUUAGUUUCUGGGAAGUAUGAAAGAAAAACUUAUGGCAAAUGUUCCAUCAAACACACUGAAGUAGGGUAACAUCUGCCUAACAAAUUGGCAAAUAGUCUUUUUUUGCGAGAGAGAGAGAGAGAGAGAGAGAGCGAGCACAAACAGGGGAAAGGCAGAGAGAAAAUCCCACCCAAGCAGUGUAUGGGAGUCACACGCAGCGUGGAGCCCGACACAGGGCUCGAUCUCAAGACCGUGAGAUCAUGACCUUAGCCGAAAUCAAGAGUCAAAAUGCUUAACUGACUGAGCCACCCAGGUGCCCCACAAAUAGUCUUAAAAUAUGAAAAUUGUCAUUGAUACAGAAGAUACAGGCAAAUAGGCACUCAUACACUUGAGGGAGGCCUAGGUGAGUCUAUUUAUAGGGAAAUUUGAGGAUAUGUAUUAAAAGCCAGAAAAUGUA